Molecule: long non-coding RNA, 3352 nt
Filed under: Drosophila guanche
Lineage: Eukaryota; Metazoa; Arthropoda; Insecta; Diptera; Drosophilidae
Source: RNAcentral
GUGCGUGCUGAGUUCACUUCCAACACACCAGGGCUGACAAGCCCAGGGCUGGGAAGUGAAUAAUCGCACGAACCAUUUUUUAUUUAUUUAUACUUUACAAAGCAUAUUACAUAAAUUAGUUGGCGUCGCGAACUUAAGUCAUAUACGUACAAACCACAUAUGUAUACACAUGUAGUCUAUAAAUAUAUAACAGAAGACAUUCGACAGAACAUUAGACGAAGGUAUUUUACAUACGAUAGUUGACCAUUAUCGAUAACAUGCGUAUUAAGUUAAUUAAUUGAGUUAUGUUCGCUGUUUGAAUUAAUCAAUUAGAUAACACGUUCCAAUUGUAGGAGAUAGUUCCGUGCUGAGUGAUGAUAGCUGUUCAUUCAUCAAGCAAUUAAGAGAGAAGUCACUUGGUGGUGGGUGAGAUUCGCUGCCAUCUACUGUCUUUCAGCUUCAAGUGGGAUAUUUGCAUUGCUAUUCUGUAGAAUGGAAGAAGUGUGUAUAGAGUUAUUUCCCUGAAGGUGUCACUGGAUCUCUGCUUCUGGAUCCAGUAGUGAAAGGAUGUCUUCUCAUGCUCUCACGCCUGGCCUGUAGGACGCGAUCCUGGAUAUGCUGGUAGUUGGAGUGCUGGGGCUGGACAUCUUCAUUAUCUGGGUGCCGUGUUGUUGCUGCAGAUACAUCUAUUUGUUGUGCUGGUUGCAGGGGCGUCAUUCUGGGCAAGUGGUUUGCUAUCGCCUCAUUAUAACGUGGUCUGGACAGUCUUUGGAGGAUGCAUGGAUUGGUGAUCAUUCGCCUUGCCAGGUAAUUGUUGUGAGUAGUCAGUCUUUGAUAAAAUUUUCUGGUCAGCGAAUUGUACAUCUCUUCUACUGUAGGCAACUGAAGAUCUGCGUGAAUUGAACUGUUUCUGACAUACCACGGAGCGUCAACAAUAGCACGGAUGACCUUGUUCUGGAGAGUCUGAAUCCUAUCCAUUUGUGUUUUCGCAAUCAGGGGGCCCCAGACUGGCAUCGCAUAUUGCCAAAUCGGAACCACUAGCUGGCGGAANGUUUGAAUUAAUCAAUUAGAUAACACGUUCCAAUUGUAGGAGAUAGUUCCGUGCUGAGUGAUGAUAGCUGUUCAUUCAUCAAGCAAUUAAGAGAGAAGUCACUUGGUGGUGGGUGAGAUUCGCUGCCAUCUACUGUCUUUCAGCUUCAAGUGGGAUAUUUGCAUUGCUAUUCUGUAGAAUGGAAGAAGUGUGUAUAGAGUUAUUUCCCUGAAGGUGUCACUGGAUCUCUGCUUCUGGAUCCAGUAGUGAAAGGAUGUCUUCUCAUGCUCUCACGCCUGGCCUGUAGGACGCGAUCCUGGAUAUGCUGGUAGUUGGAGUGCUGGGGCUGGACAUCUUCAUUAUCUGGGUGCCGUGUUGUUGCUGCAGAUACAUCUAUUUGUUGUGCUGGUUGCAGGGGCGUCAUUCUGGGCAAGUGGUUUGCUAUCGCCUCAUUAUAACGUGGUCUGGACAGUCUUUGGAGGAUGCAUGGAUUGGUGAUCAUUCGCCUUGCCAGGUAAUUGUUGUGAGUAGUCAGUCUUUGAUAAAAUUUUCUGGUCAGCGAAUUGUACAUCUCUUCUACUGUAGGCAACUGAAGAUCUGCAUGAAUUGAACUGUUUCUGACAUACCACGGAGCGUCAACAAUAGCACGGAUGACCUUGUUCUGGAGAGUCUGAAUCCUAUCCAUUUGUGUUUUCGCAAUCAGGGGGCCCCAGACUGGCAUCGCAUAUUGCCAAAUCGGAACCACUAGCUGGCGGAAUAAAAUUACUUUGGCACGUAUUGAUAGCUUGCUCCUCCUUCCUAUCAACCAGUCCAGUUUUUUGAUCCUGCUUCUUGAUUUAGUAAUUAUAGUAUUGACAUGUUUACGGAAGUUGAUUUGUCUGUCUAUUUGUAUGCCAAGGUAGGGAUAACAUGACUUGCUGCUAAUUUGCUGAUCAGCAAGGAUAGGCAAAGUAUGCUGUCCUAGUGACGAGAGCGUAUACAUGACGUGCGCUGUCUUAUUGAGGCUAAUAGUAAUGCCCCAUUUCUUUGCCCAGGCGGCAGCAUUAACAAGAAGGCUCUGCAUUUUGUUGUUGAUGAUGUUAGCAUUCUGGCCCGACAUUUUUUUUAUUUAUUCUGCCUUCUUCGCGCUCAUCUCCGGGACUUGAGUCUCUUUUUUAUUUUAAAUUUUUAAUUGUCAGGUACUUAUUUUCUUUCAUUUGCGUUGAACAGAACAAUUACAAUAUUUGAUCUUAAUUUAACAUGGUGGUUUUUACACUUAAAAUGUGCCUUUUUUCUUUUUUUUUUUUUUAUUUUAAAUUUUAAUUGUCAGGGAACUUCUUUUCUUUGUGGCGUUGAACAGAACAAAAUUGUACAAAAUAUUUGCUCUUAAUUUAACAUGGUGGUUCACUUAUGUGCAAAAGUUAUGUCGGUAGUGGACAGUUGAAAAACAAAUUGACAAAAACUAAAUUGCAACAUUUACACACACAUGAAAAAUGAGUUUUAAAUUGGGUCAAAACGCACAGGAAAGAGUCACACAAACAAAAAAUUUGGGAGAGGCAGUUGCCCGCAUAUUAAUAUGCAAAGUGGUCGGGUUUAUGGGCAGAUAAUUAGCACAAGCAAUCUUUGAUUUAAUUGCUGUUUUAAUUCACACUAAUUCGCGCAAGAAACACUCUUCGCGCACACACACAACUCCGAUUCCGCUCGACUUGUACUUGUUUUAUUGGCGGGGGCGGACACGAAAAAAUUAAAUUAUUCGCCAGAGCUGCAGAACGUACUGCUGGCUGCCGGGGCUCAAGAACGACUCAUCAGAGCGAUGCCUCGAGCGAUGCCAAUAUUGCUACAGGCAAUUACUCGAGGGGAUCGGCUCCAGAUUCGUCUCCCCCCGGCAUACCCGCAGUACGUGUGUCUGUCGAUCGGUCGGUCAGGGUAAUUGGGGAGAGUACAAGUGAGAGUCAGAGUGUUUUUAGUUGUGUGCAGUGCCUAAAAGAAUGCUACGAAUUAGUGUGAUUUUGUCAAAAAUACACUUGUGCUUUGGCUAACGCCCAGGAAUUGAAUGGUCAAGUAGGGGGACUUUGCAUAUAUAGAGAAAAUGAUACAUUUACAUUUAAAGAACCCUAAGGCAGUCAACAUAAACAUACAUUUUGUUAUUGACGAUAUUGCGGCACGUGUGUCCUUCGACCCCUUUCUUACCCUUGCCACCUGCUGAAGGCAGGUGACUAGGAAUGCAGCGUAGGUGCAUGUGGGUCGGGCAAUAUAUGAGGGGACGGUAAUCGCAUAUGUAACGACACGGAAACAUAUUUGGCACUAAUACGGGACAAAAAUAAUAAUGAAAAAUUCACACAUAUUAGGCCGUGGCGGCUGGCG